GGAAAGCCCUGAUACCUCCACGUGGGAAUUUAGUCAAGAAAAAAAAGAAGAGAGACAUGGCCACGUUAAAGGGAAUGCAGUGUGCAUUUCUGAGGGCCAUGGGAGUUAGAGCCCAGCAGCUCACAGUGCCCACUCCGUGCUGGUACGAGUGUCCCUGCCCGGGUCCUGCUGCACAGCCACCAGCCAAAGCCCCGCACGACGAGCAGCGCGAUUCCAGCGCCGUGGGGAAGCCGCGGGUUCGGGCCGCGUUCGGCUCUGGGGCAGCCAGGAAAAAGAGGACACACGGCGUGCGUGGCGUUGCCUCCAUCCCUUUUAUCCUUUAUCCCAUUACAUAAGAGUAUAAAGCAUAUUUUUACCCCAGGAAAAGAAGGAGGAAAAGAAAAAAAAAAAAAAAAGCGGGGAAUGAAGGAAACGCAGCAAAGGAGAAAUACGGCUUUAACUCGCUGCCAUCUGACACGAAAGACAACUUCGGAGCGGUUUUCCAAGCCGCGCUGCGCCGCUGUCCCCGCACGUGGGAGCGCUCCGGGGGCCGGCCCGGCCCGUCCGCUCCGGGAGGUGCGGGAGCAGCCAGAGCCGAGACCGAGCGGGUUUGGCAGCGGGCUGAGGGCAGCUGGGACCUCCCGGGCUGCUCCGACCUCUCUGUCCGGAGCGGGCGGUCGAAUUUUACCUUCAUAGAGAGAUGAUGUUUGCGAGAUCCGCGUUUAGCUUUCCGAGCGGGCGGCGUUAGGGCUCGUUUCUAAAAAGCAAAACAAAAAACUCACUGAAAUAUACGUUUUCCUUUCCCCCCCGCCCCGU
RNAcentral lists this long non-coding RNA (795 nucleotides) under Numida meleagris (helmeted guineafowl). Its description in RNAcentral is "lncRNA (ENSNMEG00000012875.1)". Lineage: Eukaryota; Metazoa; Chordata; Aves; Galliformes; Numididae. The record is from RNAcentral.